This 338-nucleotide long non-coding RNA is filed under the name Chinchilla lanigera (long-tailed chinchilla). RNAcentral describes it as "lncRNA (ENSCLAG00000024879.1)". Lineage: Eukaryota; Metazoa; Chordata; Mammalia; Rodentia; Chinchillidae. The record is from RNAcentral.
GCAAAUUUAAACUCCAGUUCACGUUCUCCUAGCAACACACACACCCCCGGCUGCUGGCUGGUGGGAUCCAGGCACCAGAUCUGUGCAGCUGGGGCAGGUCGUGUUGCUAGGAGAACAAUGACUCUCUAGCUUCCAGCACACGUAGGUGACUGCUGGCAUUACAAGGGGCACACAGGUGGGCGUCACUUUGCGUUCCUCAGUGAUUGUUUCCCAGCAAGGAGCUGUCUACCACCUCCAGGAAGAUUUUCCAGGUAUGUCUGAGAGAUUUCAAGAAAUGAGACGAGGGAGGUAAGAAGCCUAUAGCUAGUAGUGUGUAUAUGAAAGCACGUGUCAGACAA